Molecule: long non-coding RNA, 632 nt
Organism: Ipomoea nil (Japanese morning glory)
Lineage: Eukaryota; Viridiplantae; Streptophyta; Magnoliopsida; Solanales; Convolvulaceae
Exons: 4
Source: RefSeq, a predicted model, not a curated record
CUUUGAUCCUGUAUGGAUUUUCUUGUUCCUUACUUCUGUGCUUAUUCUUGAUGUUCAGUGCUCAAUUGAACAAACUGUUUAAAAAACUGGGAUGAAUCACAGAAAACGCAAUUGCAAUUACAAUUGCUCCGUGUAAGUGUCUUGAGGGUUGAGGAGAGGGUGAUGAGCAAAUUGUAAUCAGAAUGAGGCUUUACUCUCCAUCAUUCUAGUGCAACUGUAUAAAUCCUUGUGGUAGAGUCCAUUUUCAGAUUGGUUGCCACUGAAAGGAAAAAUUUAUGUCUUAAGUGCAGAACAAAUGACAUGAAAGCAACUGAUUGAUGUAAAGGAGCCAAGUGAGAGCUGAAAUAAAAAGAUAGUUAUUUUUAACCCUUUUUUUUCUGAAGAAUUUGAGGAACAAUAUAAGUAAGGUCCAGAGAAAGAAAUGGGCCCCACAAGGAAUACGUAUUCUGAAGGGACCAUCAUCGUCGACGCCUCCACCUUACAAGCUGCAGCCCAGGUAGCUUGGAAUGCCUACAUUUUCAUCACGGGAAAUAUAAGUUCUUGGGAUGUUAGGCCGGGUAGGCGCCGGAGCUGACGGCGGCAGUGGCGGCGGCACUGCCACCGGAGAUGGGUGUUUCUGCUUCGUCUUGCCG